Molecule: non-coding RNA, 24 nt
Filed under: Arabidopsis thaliana (thale cress)
Lineage: Eukaryota; Viridiplantae; Streptophyta; Magnoliopsida; Brassicales; Brassicaceae
Source: RNAcentral
GCAGUGUGGGAGAAAUGUGAUGCA